Molecule: ribosomal RNA, 254 nt
Filed under: uncultured bacterium
Lineage: Bacteria
Also listed under: 2 other names
Description: partial 16S ribosomal RNA
Rfam family: Bacterial small subunit ribosomal RNA
Source: RNAcentral
GACGUAGGGCGCGAGCGUUGUCCGGAUUUAUUGGGCGUAAAGAGCUCGUAGGCGGCUUGUCGCGUCGACUGUGAAAACCCGUGGCUCAACCAUGUGGUCUGCAGUCGAUACGGGCAGGCUAGAAUUCGGUAGGGGAGACUGGAAUUCCUGGUGUAGCGGUGAAAUGCGCAGAUAUCAGGAGGAACACCGGUGGCGAAGGCGGGUCUCUGGGCCGAUAUUGACGCUGAGGAGCGAAAGCGUGGGGAGCGAACAGG